GGCUCAGAUUGAACGCUGGCGGCAGGCCUAGCACAUGCAAGUCGAACGGUAACAGGAAACAGCUUGCUGUUUCGCUGACGAGUGGCGGACGGGUGAGUAAUGUCUGGGAAACUGCCUGAUGGAGGGGGAUAACUACUGGAAACGGUAGCUAAUACCGCAUAACGUCGCAAGACCAAAGAGGGGGACCCUCGGGCCUCUUGCCAUCGGAUGUGCCCAGAUGGGAUUAGCUUGUUGGUGGGGUAACGGCUCACCAAGGCGACGAUCCCUAGCUGGUCUGAGAGGAUGACCAGCCACACUGGAACUGAGACACGGUCCAGACUCCUACGGGAGGCAGCAGUGGGGAAUAUUGCACAAUGGGCGCAAGCCUGAUGCAGCCAUGCCGCGUGUAUGAAGAAGGCCUUCGGGUCGUAAAGUACUUUCAGCGGGGAGGAAGGGAGUAAAGUUAAUACCUUUGCUCAUUGACGUUACCCGCAGAAGAAGCACCGGCUAACUCCGUG
Molecule: ribosomal RNA, 497 nt
Filed under: uncultured bacterium
Lineage: Bacteria
Description: bacterial SSU rRNA
Rfam family: Bacterial small subunit ribosomal RNA
Source: RNAcentral